GACACGUCAUCAAGCCCAGCUCCGUAGCUUUGGUUCUUCUUCACGCCUUUCGCGAUCCGAGAGGCGAUAGAUUCGACGUUUCUUUUUUUCAUUUCUCCAGAUCCCGUUUUGCUAGAUCCAAUCGUGAAACCCUUUGCUUUUCCUCUCUUAAUCGACGUUAUCCGGUGAUUUUAAAAGAAGUGUUAUUCUAUCUCGAAAGAUUCCGAUGAGAUCUAAACGCAGCGAUGGAGGCUUGCCGCAGAAAACCUUGCCGUCGCCGGCUCAACCUCUGUCUGGAACCAGAGAACCGCGGCGGAGGAACAAAGAAGAAACGAGAAGAUCGUGAGAUUCAUAGAACUUUCUCAUGGAUCGUCAACAAAGUACCUCAGCGACAACAAUUGGAGACUAGAGCACGCCGCCCGUGCUCUCUGUGAACACCGCUAUGAUAAACCUGAGAAGAAGUCGAAGCCGGUGCCAUUAUCACACGAUGGUAGUCAUACUGAGCCGUGGUAUCUGCACGGGUUCUAAGGGUAUGAAGGAUCGGCCGAUACGAUGCAUGACGUCUUCAGUAAAGUGCCGCCGUUUCGUAAUACCUCGACGAAUUUCAGAAUCGGGAGCCCUCCUUCUGCUAGGUCAUCGUUUAUUCAUUUACGGUUUAGCGUAACUUUCUGUUUUGAUUUAUGGUUUAACGUGUCUUUGUGUGUUCUUGAUAUAGGGUUUAGCGUACAUUAGUGUUCUUGGUUUAGGGUGCUUUUGUCUUCUGAUAGUGUUUUGUUCUGUCUUUUAUAUGAUCAAAAAAAUUUUAGUGGUAUGGCUGUUGACCAAGAUUCAAGCAGAGUCACCUAUAGUGGAGGUUGUUUGAUUUCUGAGCAAUCCAGACUUCUUUGAACGUGUUUACACUUUAUAAACAGAGAGAUCAUGCAGAUUAAGGAAGCAAUUGGCAUCCAAACAACUUUGAGUAGGCAUUAACUGGUUUUAACCAAUAUCUGAGAACGUGAAUCAGGUAGGAAGGCAUUGCUACAUCUCAAUAAGGAGAAAGUCAUUGUCUGUUAUGAGUCUGAUUCACACCCGAAGCUAGCAAAUUGUUCUACGUCAUCUCAUGAAAGGGUUCAAUGCAUGAUAGUUUUGGAGACAAGGACAACUGUGUUUCAAAAAGAACAAUAACAAAGACACACGAAUCUUGAUACUUUCAGAGUGAAACCCAUCGUGAAGAUGCUAUUAGUCAAUGUGAUAGAAACAGGUGCGAAUCACGCAAGGUUCAUGCAGAAAUUAGGACAAGAGUCAUGGAAAGAAGAAGAAGAAGAAGAAGAAGAGGAUCAAGAUAUUGGAGCAAAUAAAGUGUUCAAGAAAGUGAGAGAAAAAUCUAAGAUCAGGAACAGUCUUGAUCAUGAAGAAAAAUAUGACGAGAAAGAACCAGAAGAAUGGCACAGUGAGCCAGGCGGUGUAACAGAUCAACCUGAGGCAUUGAGUCAUUCCGGAGAAACUAAUUUUCGGCACAAGAGGAGAUCGCUCCACCAUGGAAAAAAGUUUUUCAGUUUGUGUCUUCGGAUUAUACCAAAUCCAUUGAAAUGGAGCCAUUACGAGAUGAUGAGAUGAUGGAUACUUCGGAUUUGAUGAUAUGAUGCCUCUUACAUCUUUCCCCAAAUCUUUGGAGUAUAAAGUUUGAUGCAUGAAGAUUUAAUCUUUUCACCUAUCAUUUCGUUGUUCCGUAACCAAGAAGCUCAAAUCCAGGUGUUCAAGUUUAAAAGAAUCUUUGAGUAGACUUAGCUAUCUCAUGUUCUGCUUCAUCGAUGUCAUAGGAUGUCUGCUUAAAAUUCAUGGACGUGCAUGAAUCCAGCCGGUUUCUUUGAAAUCAAGCAAGAGAAGUAAGGGCAAAACAGCCAAGCAUCUCUGCAAUGAAUGACUGAAGGUUUAUGUUCGUAAAUGCUGCAAUCUUACUAUUGUGAUUAUAGAUUCUAAUUUUUUUUUUCAAUCUGGAUAAUGAAACCAUGACCUAAUGUCACACAAGAAAAACCACUAAGGCUAUAUUCGUCUUGCAUUUUUCAUAAGUAAUGAACACAUUAUUCCUAAGUAGUUCCUACAAACAAGAGUUGUAUUCACAUUAUUCCUAAGUAGGGAUACUCUCCCUGUUGAUUUUA
This is an RNA transcript of Brassica napus (rape), 2117 nucleotides long. It is a transcript of the gene named low-temperature-induced 65 kDa protein-like, with no coding region annotated. The transcript has 7 exons. The record is from RefSeq and is a predicted model, not a curated record. Lineage: Eukaryota; Viridiplantae; Streptophyta; Magnoliopsida; Brassicales; Brassicaceae.